AUAUUUAUAAGUAUAAUCUGCUCAAUGAAAUUUUAAAUAGCCGCAAAUUUGACUGUGUUAAGGUAGCAUAAUCACUUACCUUUUAAUUAAAGGUCUGUAUGAAAGAUUGAACAAUUAGAUUUCUUUUUUAUAAAUUUUUAUUAAACCUAAAUUAAAAAUAAAAAUGUUUUUAUAAAAAAAAUAGACGAUAAGACCCUAUUGAACUUCACUUUAGUUUAGCUGGGGAAGCUAAUUAAAUAUAAUUUUAAUUAUCAAACUUGAAUAUAUUUCUAAUAAAAUUAUUAUAAACAAGUUACCAUAGGGAUAACAGCGUAAUAUAAUUUUAAAGAUCAUAUUAAAGAUUAAGUUUACGACCUCGAUGUUGAAUUAGAAUAUCUUAAAGAUGCAACAAUCUUAGAAGAAGGUCUGUUCGACCUUUGAAAUUCU
RNAcentral lists this ribosomal RNA (426 nucleotides) under Oedothorax fuscus. Its description in RNAcentral is "partial 16S ribosomal RNA". The stretch from base 184 to 426 matches the Rfam family "Bacterial large subunit ribosomal RNA", at positions 2079 to 2597 of the family's 2925-position model. Lineage: Eukaryota; Metazoa; Arthropoda; Arachnida; Araneae; Linyphiidae. The record is from RNAcentral.